This 90-nucleotide transfer RNA is filed under the name Planotetraspora mira. Its description in RNAcentral is "tRNA-Gly". Lineage: Bacteria; Bacillati; Actinomycetota; Actinomycetes; Streptosporangiales; Streptosporangiaceae. The record is from RNAcentral.
AGCUCGCUGGGACGGUGUUUGACUGCCUCGCCUCCGGCGAGGCGGACUCGGGGCGCCUUAGAGGCCGUCGGUCGUGCCGGAGGCGCGCCA